AUGUCGGUCUUCAAAUUACCCAAGGGGGUUUGCAAGUCAAUAACAGAUGAAAUCCCAGGUUUUUGGUGGGGAGAUGGAGAGGAGAAAAAGAAAAUGCACCGGUUUGCAUGAUGGAAAUUAUGUGUCCCAAAGAAGAAGGGUGGCAUGGGGUUUAGGGACCUUCACAGCUUUAAUCUUGCUAUGUUAGCAAAGCAGUGUUGGCGACUUCUCCAAAAUCCUGAUUCUUUAUGUGCACGUGUUCUGAGUGCCAAGUAUUAUCCAAAUGGUGAUAUUCUGAAGGCAGGGCCUAAAAAGGGUUCAUCAUACACUUGGCAAAGCAUUGUUGCAGGUAUACAGACUUUCAAGCGAGGGUGUAUUUGGCGGAUAGGGUCUGGCUCACAUAUUAACAUAUGGGAUGAUCCCUGGAUUCCU
RNAcentral lists this ribosomal RNA (411 nucleotides) under Triticum aestivum (bread wheat). RNAcentral's name for it is "partial small subunit ribosomal RNA". The record is from RNAcentral. Lineage: Eukaryota; Viridiplantae; Streptophyta; Magnoliopsida; Poales; Poaceae.